RNAcentral lists this ribosomal RNA (431 nucleotides) under uncultured bacterium. Its description in RNAcentral is "bacterial SSU rRNA". It matches the Rfam family "Bacterial small subunit ribosomal RNA", at positions 917 to 1345 of the family's 1533-position model. The record is from RNAcentral.
GGACCCGCACAAGCAGUGGAGCAUGUGGUUUAAUUCGAAGAUACGCGCAGAACCUUACCAACGCUUGACAUGUUCGUCGCGAGACUAAGAGAUUAGUCUUUUCAGUUUGGCUGGACGAAACACAGGUGCUGCAUGGCUGUCGUCAGCUCGUGUCGUGAGAUGUUGGGUUAAGUCCCGCAACGAGCGCAACCCCCUACUUUUAGUUGCCACCAUUUAGUUGGGCACUUUAAAAGAACUGCCAGUGAUAAGCUGGAGGAAGGUGGGGAUGACGUCAAGUCCUCAUGGCCCUUAUGUGUUGGGCUACACACGUGCUACAAUGGUACUUACAAUGGGACGCAAAGAGGCGACUCUUAGCUAAUCCCUAAAAUGUGUCUCAGUUCGGAUUGUACUCUGUAACUCGAGUGCAUGAAGCUGGAAUUGCUAGUAAUCGC